Molecule: non-coding RNA, 84 nt
Organism: Lentinula edodes (shiitake mushroom)
Lineage: Eukaryota; Fungi; Basidiomycota; Agaricomycetes; Agaricales; Omphalotaceae
Source: the annotation of a RefSeq genome assembly
GGUUCGAUGGCGUAGUUGGUUAUCGCAUCUGUCUAACACAUCUGUUCGCACAGAAGGUCCUCAGUUCGAACCUGGGUUGAAUCA